AAUCAACGCUGGCGGCGUGCCUCAGACAUGCAAGUCGAACGAGAAAGUUUCCUUCGGGAGACGAGUACAGUGGCGUCCGGGUGAGUAACACGUGGGUAAUUUACCUUUGGGUGGGGAAUAGCAGCCGGAAACGGCUAUUAAUACCGCAUAAUGCAGCGGCUCGACAUCGAGACAGUUGUUAAAGCGGGGAUCUGACAAGGACCUCGCGCCUAAAGAGAAGCCUGCGUCAGAUUAGCUAGUUGGUAGGGUAAUGGCCUACCAAGGCUGUGAUCUGUAGCCGGCCUGAGAGGGCGGUCGGCCACACUGACACUGACACACGGGUCAGACUCCUACGGGAGGCAGCAGUCGGGAAUUUUGGGCAAUGGGCGCAAGCCUGACCCAGCAACGCCGCGUGAAGGAU
This 400-nucleotide ribosomal RNA is filed under the name uncultured bacterium. RNAcentral's name for it is "bacterial SSU rRNA". It matches the Rfam family "Bacterial small subunit ribosomal RNA", at positions 32 to 409 of the family's 1533-position model. The record is from RNAcentral.